GGAUGAGUUAGGUUAGGCUACGUUCGUAAUUUGUUUCAGGUAUAAAUCAAGUGUAUCGAUGUGUUAAAAGUGUGGAAGUAAAGCUAUAUUGAACUUAUCAAACAUUGCUAGCUAAGAUGACAAUGAUGUUGAUCUUCUUGUCAAAAACUCAAAUACUCGCUUGGCAUGUUCAAAUGAAGCUACUCAAGAUGCUUGGUUUAAA
Molecule: non-coding RNA, 202 nt
Organism: Schizosaccharomyces pombe (fission yeast)
Lineage: Eukaryota; Fungi; Ascomycota; Schizosaccharomycetes; Schizosaccharomycetales; Schizosaccharomycetaceae
Source: the annotation of a GenBank genome assembly